UCCGGUCAAGAUAAAUUCACUCUAGUGUCUUAUGGCUUUUUAUUCCUAUGUGAUAGUAAUAAAGUCUCAUGUAGGGAUGGAAGCCAUGAAAUACAUUGUGAAAUGUCAUCAACUAAGAUGGGGCCAUCAGUAUAGAAAACAUCCUAGUUG
This 150-nucleotide non-coding RNA is filed under the name Sarcophilus harrisii (Tasmanian devil). RNAcentral describes it as "microRNA sha-mir-135a precursor". Its record names the gene sha-mir-135a. The stretch from base 17 to 101 matches the Rfam family "mir-135 microRNA precursor family". Rfam says of the family: The hairpin precursors (represented here) are predicted based on base pairing and cross-species conservation -- their extents are not known. In this case the mature sequence is excised from the 5' arm of the hairpin. The record is from miRBase by way of RNAcentral. Lineage: Eukaryota; Metazoa; Chordata; Mammalia; Dasyuromorphia; Dasyuridae. RNAcentral also lists the same sequence under 1 other name.